This 1905-nucleotide ribosomal RNA is filed under the name human gut metagenome. RNAcentral describes it as "bacterial LSU rRNA". It matches the Rfam family "Bacterial large subunit ribosomal RNA", at positions 1 to 1985 of the family's 2925-position model. The record is from RNAcentral.
UGAAGUAAGUAAGGGCGUACGGUGAAUGCCUUGGUGCCAACAGGCGAAGAAGGACGCGGCAAGCUGCGAAAAUCCUCGGGAAGCUGCAAGCAAGCGAUGAUCCGGGGAUAUCCGAAUGGGGUAACCUGAUCGAGGCAAUACUCGAUCGUUCAUACCUGAAUACAUAGGGUAUGAAACGCGAAACCCGCUGAAGUGAAACAUCUCAGUAAGCGGAGGAAAAGAAAGAGAAAUCGAUUCCGUAAGUAGUGGCGAGCGAAAGCGGAUGGAGCCCAAACCGAAGGUAUUCCUUCGGGGUUGUAGGACCACGUCAUAUUCGACCAUACUGGAUAGUAGAACAGCCUGGAAAGGCUGGCCGGAGAAGGUGAAAGCCCUGUAGACGAAAUCCAGAGUGGGAAUUAGUGGUAUCCUGAGUAAUACAUCACACGUGGAACGAUGUAUGAACCCGCGCGGACCACCGCGCAAGGCUAAAUACUAGUUGGCGACCGAUAGUGAACAAGUACCGCGAGGGAAAGGUGAAAAGAACCGCUGUGAGCGGAGUGAAAUAGAACCUGAAACCGUAUGUCUACAAAGUGUCAGAGCAGAGCAAUCUGCGAUGGCGUGCCUUUUGUUUAAUGAGUCUGCGAGUCAGUGUUUGUGGCAAGACUAAGGGCUUCCGGCCCGGAGUCGCAGCGAAAGCAAGUCCGAACAGGGCGCAAUAAGUCGCAGGUACUGGACCCGAAGCGGAGGUGACCUACCCUUGGCCAGGUUGAAGCAUGGGUAAAACCAUGUGGAGGACCGAACAGGUGAACGUUGAAAAGUUCUCUGAUGAGCUGAGGGUAGGAGUGAAAGGCUAAUCAAACCCCGUGAUAGCUGGUUCUCUUCGAAAUGCAUUUAGGUGCAGCGUCACGUGCUGAUGCGCGGGGGUAGAGCACUGACAAGGCUAGGGGGCACACCCGCUUACCAAACCUUAUCAAACUCCGAAUACCGUGCAAUGGAACGUGGCAGUGAGACAGUGGGGGAUAAGCUUCAUUGUCGAGAGGGAAACAACCCAGACCAGCAGCUAAGGUGCCUAAAUAACGCUCAGUGGAAAGGAUGUGGGAUUACACAGACAGUGAGGAUGUUGGCUUAGAAGCAGCCACCAUUUAAAAAAUGCGUAAUAGCUUACUCAUCGAGUGAUCCUGCGCCGAAAAUGAUUGGCGAUCAAGCGUUAUACCGAAGCUCUGGACUUUGCCGCAAGGCAGAGUGGUAGAAGAGCGUUGCAUGCGCGUCGAAGGGCGAUGGCGACUGACCCUGGAGCACAUGCAAGUGAGUAUGCAGACAUGAGUAACGUUAAGCCGGGUGAAAUCCCCGGCCGCCGUAAACCCGAGGUUUCCAGGGCAACGUGUUUCGUCCCUGGGUUAGCCGGGACCUAAGCCGAGGCCGAGAGGCGUAGGCGAUGGACAUCAGGUUAAUAAUCCUGAGCUCGCAACCCUUAAACUGGGGGGACGCAUGAGAAAAGAUGACUAGGUUAUUGAAUUCCGAGUUGAGUCUACGGACUCAGCGCAUCAUUGGAUCGAGUGCCAAGAAAAGCCCCAGCGUAUGCUAAGCGACCCGUACCGCAAACCGACACAGGUGGGUGGGUAGAAUAUACCAAGGCGUAAGAGUGAAACCUGGUUAAGGAACUCGGCAAAUUAGCCCCGUAACUUCGGAAGAAGGGGUGCCUGCAGCGAUGCAGGCCGCAGAGAAAUGGCCCAACCGACUGUUUAUCAAAAACACAGCACUCUGCAAAGACGCAAGUCGAAGUAUAGGGUGUGACACGUGACCAAUGCCGAAAGAUUAAGGCAAGGGGUUAGCCGCAAGGCGAAGCUCUAAACCCAAGUCCCGGUGAAUGUCGGCCGUAACUAUAACGGUCCUAAGGUAGCGAAAUUCCUUGUCGGGUAAGUUCCG